UUGAACGCUGGCGGCAUGCCUUACACAUGCAAGUCGAACGGCAGCACGGGUGCUUGCACCUGGUGGCGAGUGGCGAACGGGUGAGUAAUACAUCGGAACAUGUCCUGUAGUGGGGGAUAGCCCGGCGAAAGCCGGAUUAAUACCGCAUACGAUCUACGGAUGAAAGCGGGGGACCUUCGGGCCUCGCGCUAUAGGGUUGGCCGAUAGCUGAUUAGCUAGUUGGUGGGGUAAAGGCCUACCAAGGCGACGAUCAGUAGCUGGUCUGAGAGGACGACCAGCCACACUGGGACUGAGACACGGCCCAGACUCCUACGGGAGGCAGCAGUGGGGAAUUUUGGACAAUGGGCGAAAGCCUGAUCCAGCAAUGCCGCGUGUGUGAAGAAGGCCUUCGGGUUGUAAAGCACUUUUGUCCGGAAAGAAAUCCUUGGCUCUAAUACAGUCGGGGGAUGACGGUACCGGAAGAAUAAGCACCGGCUAACUACGU
Molecule: ribosomal RNA, 484 nt
Filed under: uncultured bacterium
Lineage: Bacteria
Description: partial 16S ribosomal RNA
Rfam family: Bacterial small subunit ribosomal RNA
Source: RNAcentral